This 3366-nucleotide ribosomal RNA is filed under the name Parcubacteria group bacterium. RNAcentral describes it as "bacterial LSU rRNA". It matches the Rfam family "Bacterial large subunit ribosomal RNA". The record is from RNAcentral.
UUGGGAAGGUAAAUAUAUUAAGGGCCUAUGAAGGAUGCCUUGACAUAAAGAGCCGAUGAAGGACGUGGCGUGACUGCGAUAAGCCUCGGGGAAGUGUCUAGCAACUUUUGAUCCGGGGAUGUCCGAAUGGAGAAAUCCAACAUUGUAAAGCAAUGUUAUCCCGAUUUUAUAUCGGGAGGGGAACCUGAGGAAGUGAAACAUCUCAGUACUCAGAGGAAAAGAAAAUAAAUCAUUCGCGCUUCACUAUUGUUCAGCACUCAUAAAUAAUCAAUAACCAAUAACCAAUAAUCAAUCAAUAACCAAUAACCAAUAAUCAAUUCUUAAUUAAAUUAAUUAAUUGAAAAUUAAAUCAUUGAACAUUGAUUGAAAAUUGAAAAUUGAAAGUUGAAAAUUAAGCGAGUGCCGAGCGAUAGCGAGGCGCGAGCGAGCAUUCCCUAAGUAGCGGCGAGCGAAAAGGGAGAAGCCCAAACCUUUCGAUGCUUCGCAUCGGAAAUUCCAAGAAACAAGAAACAAGAAACAAACAAAUUCCAAAUUCUAAUAUUCAAUCUCUAAAUUAUUUGAGAUUUUGAAUUUGGUUAUUGAUUAUUGUUUGUAUCUUGGUAAUUGUAACUUGGCGCUUCCGCUGCGGAGCAGCGGUAGGGGUUGUAAGGUGAUAACGUUCUGGAGUCAUCCAGAGGGAGUUUUAAAAAAUAAAGGUUGGUUAAUUAAAUCUUGCUGGAAAGCAGAACCAAAGAGGGUAAAAGUCCCGUAGGUGAAAAUCUCUUUAUGCUCCUAGUUAUUGUCCCGACGUUAAGUCGGGAUCCCGAUCUCGCAUCGGGACUCUUAAGUACCUCGGGACCAGACUAUCCCGUGGGAAUCCGGCAGUCCUAUACUGCCAAGGCUAAAUACUCUUUAUGAUCGAUAGUGAACCAGUACCGUGAGGGAAAGGUGAAAAGUAGCCCGGUGAGGGCGGUGAAAUAGAACCUGAAAUCAUAGGCUUACAAAGAGUCGGAGGUCGCCUUAGGCGACUGACGGCGUGCUUUUUGCAGAACGAACCAACGAGUGUAUGUAGGUGGCUUGCCUAAGUUUGUCUAGAACGAAGGCACAGUGAAAGCAAGGGUUAAUAGCCCGUUUGUCGCCUGGAUACGACCCGAAGCCAAAGCGAGCUAACCAUGGCCAGGAUGAGUCCCGGGUAAAACCGGGAGGAGGUCCGCACCCACCGGCUGUGCAACACCGGGGGAUGAGCUGUGGUUAGAAGUGAAAAGCUAAUCGAGCUUGGUAAUAGCUGGUUCUUCCCGAAAUAGCUUUAGGGCUAGCCUUUCGUUAAUGUUUUUAGGGGUAGAGCACUGGAUGGAGUAAAAUGGGAUUUAUCCUGCUUGCUUCAAUCAAACUCCGAAUACUAAAAAUUUAUGCGAGAGAGUCAGACUGUGGGGGCUAAGCUCCAUGGUCGAGAGGGAAACAGCCCAGACUGUAGUCUAAGGUCCCUAAAUCAAACUCAGUGGGAAAGGAAGUGAGACCUCUCUGACAGCUAGAAGGUUGGCUUAGAAGCAGCCAUCCUUUAAAGAGUGCGUAACAGCCCACUAGUUCAGAGAUUUUGCGCCGAAGAUUUAACGGGGCUUAAGUUUGAUACCGAAGACACAGGGCGUUCGCCUUAGGCGAACGUUGGUAGGGAAGCGUUCUUUACGCGCUGAAGCUUAAGCGUGAGCUUGAGUGGAGUGUAAAGAAGUGAGAAUGUUGGUAUGAGUAACCACAAAUCCGGUGAGAUACCGGAUCGCCGAAAACCCAAGGUUUCCUUGGCAAUGAAUAUCAGCCAAGGGUUAGGCGGGCCUAAGCUUUGCGUGCUUUAUCUAAGGUACGUCAUGGCGAUGGACAGACGGUUAAUAUUCCGUCCCCCCAAUGUUUUUUCGAUGAAAGGACGGAGCUUAGUAGUCUGAGCGUCUUAUUGGAUUGACGUUCUUGUCUUAAGGGUGUCUGUUUGGCAAAUCCGGCAGGCAUUAGCCCAAGAGUUGAGAAAAGGUUUUUCUUCGGAAGAAUCGAUUCAGAUGAGCAGGCUUCCAAGAAAAGUUUCUAGAGCCAAAAAUAUUGGGUCCGUACCGCAAACCAACACAGGUGGGUAGGUCGAGUAGACCAAGGCGAACGGGUGAGUCCUCGUGAAGGAACUCGGCAAAACAACGGGCGUAACUUCGGGAUAAGCCCCGCCCCCCACCACUUUUUUAGGAGUGUUCAGUUAGAGUAUACUCAAAGAAAGUGGUGGGGGGCCGCAGCGAAAGAUUCCUGGCGACUGUUUACCAAAAACACAGCUCUCUGCUAACUCGUAAGAGGAUGUAUAGAGAGUGACGCCUGACCAGUGCUAGAAGGUUAACGGUUAACGUCCCCGACUUUACGUCGUGGGGCGAAGGCCCGAAGCCCUAGUAAACGUCAGCGAUAACUAUAAUCGUUCUAAGGUAGCGAAAUUCCUUGACUGGUAAUUUCAGUCCCGCACGAAUGGCGUCACGACUGGGAAACUGUCUCCACGAGGAGCCCGGUGAAAAUGCAGUGGGGGUGAAGAUGCCUCCUACUUGCGGCAAGACGGAAAGACCCCGGAAGCUUUACUACAGGUUCUUAUUGGGGUGUUGUUUUAGAUGCGUAGCAUAGCGGGGAGGCUUUGAAACUUGAUUUUCGGAUUGAGUGGAGCCGCCAGUGAAAUACCCGUCUUCUAACAUAAUACUUCUAACUUCGAGGUAAGAUCUCGAGGGACAGUGGGUGCUGGGUAGUUUGAGUGGGGCGCUCGCCUCCCAAAAGGUAACGGAGGCGUUUAAAGGUCGGCUAGGCCCGGAUGGAAAUCGGGCUGGUUGUGCAAAGGCAAAAGCCGGCUUUACUGCAAGACGGACAUGUCGCGCAGUUGCGAAAGCAGAACUUAGUGAACCGACCGUGGGUUAUAGAACCGCGGAAGAUUAUCGGAUAAAAGCUACUCCGGGGAUAACAGGCUAAUAGCGUCUAAGAGUCCAUAUCGACGACGCUGUUUGGCACCUCGAUGUCGGCUCAUCUUAUCCUGGGGGUGAAGAAGCUCCCAAGGGUUGGGCUGUUCGCCCAUUAAAAAGGUACGCGAGCUGGGUUCAGAUCGGCGUAAGCCAGAUUGGUCCCUAUCUGCCGCAGGCGUUGAUACCUGAGGGAAGUUGCUCAUUGUACGAGAGGAUCCGAGUGAACAAACCUCUGGUCUACCAGUUGUCCCGCCCGGGGCAUCGCUGGGUAGCUAAGUUUGGACGGGAUAAGCACUGAAAGCAUCUAAGUGCGAAGCCUCUCCCAAGAUUAGGUAUCGUAGAUUCGUGGAAGAUGACCACGUGAUAGGCUCUAGGUGUAAGCGCGGCAACGCGUUAAGCCAAGGAGUACUAAUAAAUCAUUUUUAUU